CAGGAGAAUCGCUUGAACCCGGGAGGCAGAGGUUGCGGUGAGUCGAGACUGCGUCAUUGCACUCCAGCCUGGGCAACAAGAGCAAAACUUCAUCUCAAAAAAAUAAAUUAUAUAUAGCUAUUCCUAUGACUAAAAGGACUUUUUUGUUUGUUUGAGACAGAGUCUCACUCUCGUCCAGGCUGGGGUGCAGUGGUGCAAACUCGGCUCACUGCAACCUCCGCCCCAGAGUUCAAGCGAUUCUCCAGCCUCA
Molecule: long non-coding RNA, 250 nt
Filed under: Homo sapiens (human)
Lineage: Eukaryota; Metazoa; Chordata; Mammalia; Primates; Hominidae
Description: non-protein coding lnc-CD3D-7:1
Source: RNAcentral